Molecule: ribosomal RNA, 280 nt
Filed under: uncultured bacterium
Lineage: Bacteria
Description: partial 16S ribosomal RNA
Rfam family: Bacterial small subunit ribosomal RNA
Source: RNAcentral
UGGACUUCGGUCUGCGAGUAAAGUGGCGCACGGGUGAGUAACACGUGGAUAAUCUACCCGACAACUUGGGAUAACAUUUCGAAAGGGAUGCUAAUACCAAAUAAGCCCACAACGUCUUCGGACGACGCGGGAAAAGGUGGGGACCUUCGGGCCUGCCAUUGUCGGAUGAGUCCGCGUCCCAUUAGCUAGUUGGUAGGGUAAUGGCCUACCAAGGCUACGAUGGGUAGCUGGUCUGAGAGGAUGAUCAGCCACACUGGAACUGAGACACGGUCCAGACUCC